UACGUAGGGGGCGAGCGUUGUCCGGAUUUAUUGGGCGUAAAGAGCUCGUAGGCGGUUUGGUAAGUCGGGUGUGAAAUCUCCACGCUCAACGUGGAGGGGCCACUCGAUACUGCCAUGACUCGAGUCCGGUAGAGGAGUGUGGAAUUCCCGGUGUAGCGGUGAAAUGCGCAGAUAUCGGGAGGAACACCUGCGGUGUAGACGGCUUACUGGACCAUAACUGACGCUGAGGCACGAAAGCGUGGGUAGCAAACAGG
RNAcentral lists this ribosomal RNA (254 nucleotides) under uncultured bacterium. RNAcentral describes it as "partial 16S ribosomal RNA". It matches the Rfam family "Bacterial small subunit ribosomal RNA", at positions 524 to 776 of the family's 1533-position model. The record is from RNAcentral.